AGGGUAUUGUGAAUAAAACUGCUGCAAAUAAUCUGGGAAAUGGCUAUACUGGGGGAACGGACUUCCAGGGUAAAUUGGGGGUUGCGGUUUCUGCCACAUAUGGGGGUGCCUUGGAAAUGUAGGUUUCUGCUCUGGUGCCUGGUCAUCUGUAGAAGAUUCCCCUGCAGGCUCAGCUGUGGGAUAGCCCUUACCAGGAUACUGGGAUUGGGAGUAGGGAUAUGGCCACAUCAUAUGGGGGUCCUUUGGAAACUGAGGUUUCUGGUCUGGUGCCUGGUCAUCUGUAGAAGACUCCCCUGCAGGCUCAGCUGUGGGAUAGCCCUUACC
Long non-coding RNA from Carassius carassius (crucian carp), 324 nucleotides. RefSeq lists it as uncharacterized. Lineage: Eukaryota; Metazoa; Chordata; Actinopteri; Cypriniformes; Cyprinidae. The record is from RefSeq and is a predicted model, not a curated record. The transcript has 3 exons.